Molecule: non-coding RNA, 23 nt
Filed under: Arabidopsis thaliana (thale cress)
Lineage: Eukaryota; Viridiplantae; Streptophyta; Magnoliopsida; Brassicales; Brassicaceae
Source: RNAcentral
GUGAUCGCUUUGUUGCUGGUACC